AGUUUGAUCAUGGCUCAGAUUGAACGCUGGCGGCAUGCCUUACACAUGCAAGUCGAACGGUAACAGGUCUUCGGAUGCUGACGAGUGGCGAACGGGUGAGUAAUACAUCGGAACGUGCCCGAUCGUGGGGGAUAACGCAGCGAAAGCUGUGCUAAUACCGCAUACGAUCUACGGAUGAAAGCGGGGGACUCGCAAGGGCCUCGCGCGGACGGAGCGGCCGAUGGCAGAUUAGGUAGUUGGUGGGAUAAAAGCUUACCAAGCCGACGAUCUGUAGCUGGUCUGAGAGGACGACCAGCCACACUGGGACUGAGACACGGCCCAGACUCCUACGGGAGGCAGCAGUGGGGAAUUUUGGACAAUGGGCGCAAGCCUGAUCCAGCCAUGCCGCGUGAGUGAAGAAGGCCUUCGGGUUGUAAAGCUCUUUCGGCCGGGAAGAAAUCGCAUGGGUUAAUACCCUGUGUGGAUGACGGUACCGGAAUAAGAAGCACCGGCUAACUACGUG
RNAcentral lists this ribosomal RNA (502 nucleotides) under uncultured bacterium. RNAcentral's name for it is "bacterial SSU rRNA". It matches the Rfam family "Bacterial small subunit ribosomal RNA", at positions 10 to 507 of the family's 1533-position model. The record is from RNAcentral.